GUGCCACGUGACCACCUGGCUGGCGCGCGCGCCUGGGGGUCUGGUCCCUAGCCGCGUUCUCGGUCGCUUCCCUCUUCUCUCGCCGCCUCCUGGCCUCCGCACCGACGCGGCCCGGGCUGGAGCCGAGCCGGGGCCGAGCUGCAGGCCGGACCGGAGCCGGAUCUGUACCCGCUGAGACGUGGAAACAUGGAGGCCUGAGCCGGUGUGCGCCACCUGGGCUGCGGCGGCGACAGCGACUUCUCCUGACCCCUCUGCCACCCUCCCAUCCGUCCGCGGGUCCGUGGAGCUGGAGCAGAUCCCCCAGCCGGCUGAGACAGGUUGUCUUUUGGAAAUGCAGGUUUAAGGACAAAUUAUCUGCUUAAGCUAGAAGAUGGGAUCGAAUAGCAGCAGAAUCGGCGAUCUUCCUAAAAAUGAGUACUUGAAAAAGUUAUCAGGCACGGAAUCUAUCUCUGAGAAUGACCCGUUCUGGAAUCAGCUUCUCUCAUUUUCUUUCCCUGCACCAACUAGCAGUAGUGAGUUGAAACUCUUGGAGGAAGCAACCAUUUCAGUCUGCAGGUCAUUAGGCUGUCUAGGCCGGACACAGUGGCUCACGCCUAUAAUCCCAGCAUUUUGAGAGGCUGAUGCGAGUGGAUCACGAAGUCAGGAGUUCAAGACCA
This 656-nucleotide long non-coding RNA is filed under the name Homo sapiens (human). Its description in RNAcentral is "non-protein coding lnc-C18orf32-2:7". The record is from RNAcentral. Lineage: Eukaryota; Metazoa; Chordata; Mammalia; Primates; Hominidae.